Non-coding RNA from Camellia sinensis, 702 nucleotides. The record is from RefSeq and is a predicted model, not a curated record. Lineage: Eukaryota; Viridiplantae; Streptophyta; Magnoliopsida; Ericales; Theaceae.
AGAUCAAUGUGGUGACACAGCGGGGUUUUGUUCUAGUAGAUGAGCGUAUCCUGCCAGUGCACAAGGGAUUUUUGUUGUUGAACAAGUCAGUGGAAAAGAUCACGUGCUCAACCAUUUGGGCAUUCCAGCAGCUUGUUUCACUCACCCAGAAAUUAGUAUGGUUGGACUCACAGAGGUGAAUAUCAAAUUUUCCAAUUCCCAUACCAAACCCACAAAUAGAAUAAAAUAAAUAAAAAGGGAUGUGUGCAUUUUUAUUCUCUCUUUUGUUCUUAUUGGGUAGUGAAAUAAAAAAGUUUACCCAUCAUAUUCUUGUAAUUUACCUCUAGUUGACUAACAUCUAAAAUUUUGCAGCCUCAAGAGAAAGAGAGGGCUGAAAUAGAGGGGUUUGAAAUAAGUGUUGCCAAGACAAGUUUUAAGGCUAACACAAAGGCUCUAGCAGAAAAUGAAGGGGAGGGACUGGCUAAGCAGUGGGUUGUUCAAGCAUUAAAUGUAGAUACUGGUGCUAAUCAUUCUGCAGAAGGUGUUAAGUAGCAACCUGCUUUUGACAAGAAGCAGUUUGUGGCGUUUGUGAAGAAGUACAUUAAGCCACUCUCCGCCACCUCUGGAGGGAGCAUUGGGUUGAUGGGUCUAAUCUCCCAAGCUGUCUAUGAUGGUGGCCGCCACGUCUUAGGAGUGAUUCCAAAAACUCUUAUGCCCAGAGAG